RNAcentral lists this ribosomal RNA (618 nucleotides) under Streptomycetaceae bacterium. Its description in RNAcentral is "bacterial SSU rRNA". It matches the Rfam family "Bacterial small subunit ribosomal RNA", at positions 189 to 822 of the family's 1533-position model. Lineage: Bacteria; Bacillati; Actinomycetota; Actinomycetes; Kitasatosporales; Streptomycetaceae. The record is from RNAcentral.
AUGGGGGAGGGUUGAAAGCUCCGGCGGUGAAGGAUGAGCCCGCGGCCUAUCAGCUUGUUGGUGGGGUGAUGGCCUACCAAGGCGACGACGGGUAGCCGGCCUGAGAGGGCGACCGGCCACACUGGGACUGAGACACGGCCCAGACUCCUACGGGAGGCAGCAGUGGGGAAUAUUGCACAAUGGGCGAAAGCCUGAUGCAGCGACGCCGCGUGAGGGAUGACGGCCUUCGGGUUGUAAACCUCUUUCAGCAGGGAAGAAGCGCAAGUGACGGUACCUGCAGAAGAAGCACCGGCUAACUACGUGCCAGCAGCCGCGGUAAUACGUAGGGUGCGAGCGUUGUCCGGAAUUAUUGGGCGUAAAGAGCUCGUAGGCGGCUUGUCACGUCGGAUGUGAAAGCCCGGGGCUUAACCCCGGGUCUGCAUUCGAUACGGGCAGGCUAGAGUGUGGUAGGGGAGAUCGGAAUUCCUGGUGUAGCGGUGAAAUGCGCAGAUAUCAGGAGGAACACCGGUGGCGAAGGCGGAUCUCUGGGCCAUUACUGACGCUGAGGAGCGAAAGCGUGGGGAGCGAACAGGAUUAGAUACCCUGGUAGUCCACGCCGUAAACGUUGGGAACUAGGUG